This 274-nucleotide ribosomal RNA is filed under the name uncultured bacterium. Its description in RNAcentral is "partial 16S ribosomal RNA". It matches the Rfam family "Bacterial small subunit ribosomal RNA", at positions 523 to 796 of the family's 1533-position model. The record is from RNAcentral.
CUACGGAGGGUGCAAGCGUUACUCGGAAUCACUGGGCGUAAAGGACGCGUAGGCGGGUUGGCAAGUCAGAUGUGAAAUCCUACAGCUUAACUGUAGAACUGCAUAUGAAACUGCUAACCUAGAGUAUGGGAGGGGGAGAUGGAAUUAGUGGUGUAGGGGUAAAAUCCGUAGAUAUCACUAGGAAUACCGAAAGCGAAGGCGAUCUCCUGGAACAUAACUGACGCUAAGGCGUGAAAGCGUGGGGAGCAAACAGGAUUAGAUACCCUUGUAGUCC